CGACGUUAAGAAGAAGUAAGGAUGAUACAUAGCAUAGCAUGGGGGUGAAUCCUACACUCCUCAGCCCAAAAGUUCGAGACAGGAGGUAGGAGUGGCACUGUCGUCACAGUCACAGCGACGGAAACAUGUGGGGAUGUACAGUGGCGGAGACAGAGAUGGUAAUGUUGUAUGGCACUGCCAAAAGCCGGCAGCUGUCGUCGCCAUCUUAGUAGUAGAGCCAUUAAUGGGAGGAACGUGGCCAACCUCAAGUGCUACGCCCACUACACACUCAGCUGCCUCCUCCAUCGGCCGUUCUCAACGUCAUCGGAGAUGUCAAGCCUGGGCGGGUCUCAGCUCGUACGACAUCGAAGAUGUGCUGCACAUCGAGUGUUUGUUAAAAAUCCUCAAACAAGCGCAGGAGCAAACAUGAAGCGAUCCCGACAAGUGCAAUAAGAUGACCAUACAAAAGACUCUGCACUGAUAACACAGCAUUCACCAAAGAGAGCUCACUUGGCUCCACUGAUUUCCCUGGAAAUCACAAGUACUUGGGAGCCACAUGAAUCUUCCAAGCGGACAUGGCCAUGUGACGUGUUGAGAGCAAAGUAGCCUGCAACAUUCCAGAGGCCAGAUUCAGAGAGAGAGAGAGACGGGAGGGGAGGGGCCUCCACCAGCCCACGCCAAUCCGAUGUCACCCUGCACCUCCCUCUCCCGACUCCUCAGAGCUCUGCAGCCACGGAUGUGGGGGAGAGGCGUGGGCUAAAGAAUGUGAACCACUCCACCUUCUCAUCUCAUCGGCAGACAACGCAGCAUGGACCUGCACAACAGUGGGAAUUGUCGAGCCCUGCUUAAUGGGCUCGUCGUGAUCACGCCAUCCUGUGCAGGCUGUGGACCAUCUCCCUGCCUUUGCUUCCAUCCUCACGCCAUUCAUUGCAUACUGCUUGCCGUGACUUUUAUUUCG
Molecule: long non-coding RNA, 937 nt
Filed under: Musa acuminata (dwarf banana)
Lineage: Eukaryota; Viridiplantae; Streptophyta; Magnoliopsida; Zingiberales; Musaceae
Description: long non-coding RNA (MACU_LNC000722)
Source: RNAcentral